This 301-nucleotide ribosomal RNA is filed under the name uncultured bacterium. RNAcentral describes it as "partial 16S ribosomal RNA". It matches the Rfam family "Bacterial small subunit ribosomal RNA", at positions 509 to 807 of the family's 1533-position model. The record is from RNAcentral.
CAGUCGCCGCGGUAAUACGUAGGGUGCAGGCGUUAAUCGGAAUUACUGGGCGUAAAGCGUGCGCAGGCGGUUCGUUAAGACAGAUGUGAAAUCCCCGGGCUUAACCUGGGAACUGCAUUUGUGACUGGCGGGCUAGAGUAUGGCAGAGGGGGGUAGAAUUCCACGUGUAGCAGUGAAAUGCGUAGGGAUGUGGAGGAAUACCGAUGGCGAAAGCACUCUGCUGGGCCGACACUGACACUGAGAGACGAAAGCUAGGGGAGCAAAUGGAAUUAGAUACCCCAGUAGUCCCUGUCUCUUAUAC